Molecule: ribosomal RNA, 460 nt
Filed under: uncultured bacterium
Lineage: Bacteria
Description: partial 16S ribosomal RNA
Rfam family: Bacterial small subunit ribosomal RNA
Source: RNAcentral
CCUACGGGAGGCAGCAGUGAGGAAUAUUGGUCAAUGGCCGUAAGGCUGAACCAGCCAAGUCGCGUGAAGGAAGAAGGAUCUAUGGUUUGUAAACUUCUUUUAUAGGGGAAUAAAGGUAUCCACGGGUGGAUAUUUGCAUGUACCCUAUGAAGAAGCAGCGGCUAACUCCGUGCCAGCAGCCGCGGUAAUACGGAGGAUGCGAGCGUUAUCCGGAUUUAUUGGGUUUAAAGGGUGCGUAGGUGGUUUUUUAAGUCAGCGGUGAAAGUUUGUGGCUCAACCAUAAAAGUGCCGUUGAAACUGGCAGCCUUGAGUGUGUUUGAGGUAGGCGGAAUGCGUGGUGUAGCGGUGAAAUGCUUAGAUAUCACGCAGAACUCCGAUUGCGAAGGCAGCUUACUAAGCUAUAACUGCCACUGACGCACGACAGCGUGGGGAUCAAACAGGAUUAGAUACCCGGGUAGUC